CCCCCUCGGACCUCAUGUAGAGAGCAAAGACUAGUGGAGGCGGGACGCUGGAGCCCCCGGGGCUGUUCUGCAGAGUCACGGAGAGCGUCUGAGAGAGAACCCGUCAGCUCCAUCUUGGAAGGAGGAUGGACUCCCCCUCUUCCGGGUGGAGCAGGGCAGAUCCGUGGUGACUGCAGGCCCUGCCCGCCAGCGAUGGAUCCUCAGCACCUUCUCUGCGGGCCGCUCACGACGAGACCCUCCGCUCUGCGUCCAUCCUCACGCAGCUCUCCUGAGAACACGACGGGGGAGCUGGGUGGAGAGCUGCUCCCAUUUCCCCAGGUAUGGAGACUUGAAGGGGAAUAAAAUCAGUUUGCGUUGGGGUUGAGGGGGCAGCAGGUCUGGUGUUCCCUCCCUGAAGCCGAUGCAUCUUAAUGGAAAAGGACGGACAUCACUCCCCAAACCUACUUCCUACCCCAUCAGCAGCAAAUGCAAGGAUCUCCUCACUGUAAACGUAAGUGACCCGCGGCGGUGAGGUCUGCCUUCUUCACACCUGCUCUCCAGACCCUAGA
Molecule: long non-coding RNA, 548 nt
Organism: Cervus elaphus (red deer)
Lineage: Eukaryota; Metazoa; Chordata; Mammalia; Artiodactyla; Cervidae
Exons: 3
Source: RefSeq, a predicted model, not a curated record